RNAcentral lists this ribosomal RNA (253 nucleotides) under uncultured bacterium. RNAcentral's name for it is "partial 16S ribosomal RNA". It matches the Rfam family "Bacterial small subunit ribosomal RNA", at positions 524 to 776 of the family's 1533-position model. The record is from RNAcentral.
UACAGAGGUCCCAAGCGUUGUUCGGAUUUACUGGGCGUAAAGGGUGCGUAGGCGGUCGGGUAAGUCUGAUGUGAAAUCUCUGGGCUCAACCCGGAAAUGGCAUUGGAUACUAUUCGGCUAGAGAGUUGGAGGGGGGACUGGAAUACUUGGUGUAGCAGUGAAAUGCGUAGAUAUCAAGUGGAACACCAGUGGCGAAGGCGAGUCCCUGGACAACUUCUGACGCUGAGGCACGAAAGCUAGGGGAGCAAACAGG